AGCUCCAAUAGCGUAUAUUAAAGUUGUUGCAGUUAAAAAGCUCGUAGUUGGAUUUCUGGUGUGAGUGAUCGGUUCGACCUUAGGUGGAUACUCGAUCAUCUCAUACCAUCCUUGGGUCUAGCCUCGCUGGUAUUAAGUUACCGGCGUGUGCGAUGCCCAUCGUUUACUGUGAACAAAAUAGAGUGCUCUAAGCAGGCUUAUGCCGUUGAAUAUAUUAGCAUGGAAUAAUAAGAUAGGACUUUGGUGCUAUUUUGUUGGUUUGCGCAUCAAUGUAAUGAUAAAAAGGGACAGUUGUGGGUAUUUGUAUUUUUGUGUAAGAGGUGAAAUUCUUAGAUUACAAAAAGACAAACGAAUGCGAAAGCAUUUACCAAGGAUGUUUUCA
RNAcentral lists this ribosomal RNA (382 nucleotides) under uncultured marine Chaetocerotaceae. Its description in RNAcentral is "SSU rRNA". It matches the Rfam family "Eukaryotic small subunit ribosomal RNA", at positions 587 to 972 of the family's 1831-position model. Lineage: Eukaryota; Bacillariophyta; Thalassiosirophyceae; Chaetocerotales; Chaetocerotaceae. The record is from RNAcentral.